This 296-nucleotide ribosomal RNA is filed under the name uncultured Sandonidae. RNAcentral describes it as "partial 18S ribosomal RNA". The record is from RNAcentral. Lineage: Eukaryota; Cercozoa; Glissomonadida; Viridiraptoridae.
CAGCGUCAGAUGUGUAUAAGAGACAGUUAAAAAGCUCGUAGUUGGAUUUCUGGCGUUUACCAUCCUUUUCUAGAAAACGAUUCUGCCAUUCACUUGGUUGGAUCGCGAUCUAGAUCUUUUACUUUGAAAAGAGUGUUUAAAGCAGGCUUUGCUAUGAAUACAUAAGUAAUGAUUGAUAGGGAUAGUUGGGGGUUAGUAUUGGCACCAAGGAUGUCUUCUUCUGUCUCUUAUACACAUCUCCGAGCCCACGAGACAGAUGAGGAUCUCGUAUGCCGUCUUCUGCUUGAAAAAAAAAA